This is a non-coding RNA of Equus caballus (horse), 47 nucleotides long. The record is from Rfam. NCBI's taxonomy places the organism in Eukaryota, Metazoa, Chordata, Mammalia, Perissodactyla, Equidae.
UCAAAGGCUCUUUUCAGAGCCACUCACUUUUCCACGUUAAGAGUUGU